This is a non-coding RNA of Cajanus cajan (pigeon pea), 518 nucleotides long. Lineage: Eukaryota; Viridiplantae; Streptophyta; Magnoliopsida; Fabales; Fabaceae. The record is from RefSeq and is a predicted model, not a curated record.
ACGUACUGCAUCUGCAUAUAUAAAUUGAUGCCAUAUAGAGAUCAAUGGUGCAAGUAUCUUCGGCUCCAAUAUUCUCUAUCUUCGUUGCUAAAUUUCUUGUUUAAAUAACUCUCCAUCACUUUCUAAGUCUCCAAUGCCGAUCCAGUACAUUAAACACUGAUAUUGGAAGGUGAUGGAGAGUUGUUUAAACGAGAAUUUUCGCAAUUAAGUUGAAGAAUUGGUCGGAAGCCUUUUCAGGAAAAAAAGACUAAAAUUAUAGCUCGAGGAAUUAAAGAAAUCAAAGAGCAUGCCUUGAAGAGAAAAUAAGUAGUGGUGGAGGAUGAAGAUGAGCUUGACCUAUGUUCGAAUAUCCAUGUGACAUAAGAAGAGUUUGAAGAAUGGCGCUCUCCAUGGUGGAAUACUUUGGUGAUAAACAUUUUCGGCAAACGUGUGUCAUAUGGGAUUGUUCGUAUUGUGGAUAUGUCACAAGACUACAUUUUAGAUCAGCUCUCAACUGAAAAAGAUUAUAAACAUGCCUU